RNAcentral lists this ribosomal RNA (459 nucleotides) under uncultured bacterium. RNAcentral's name for it is "partial 16S ribosomal RNA". It matches the Rfam family "Bacterial small subunit ribosomal RNA", at positions 338 to 795 of the family's 1533-position model. The record is from RNAcentral.
CCUACGGGAGGCUGCAGUGAGGAAUAUUGGUCAAUGGGCGAGAGCCUGAACCAGCCAAGUCGCGUGAGGGAAGACGGUCCUAUGGAUUGUAAACCUCUUUUGCCGGGGAGCAAAAAGCGGUACGUGUACCGCAUCGCGAGUACCCGGAGAAAAAGCAUCGGCUAACUCCGUGCCACCAGCCGCGGUAAGACGGGGGAGACGAGCGUUGUACGGAUUGAUUGGGUUUAACGGUGGCGCAGGCGGAGCGUUAGGUCAGUGGUAAAAUUGCGGGGCUCAACCCCGACGAGCCGCUGAAACUGGCAUGCGUGAGUGGGCGAGAAGGAUGCGGAAUGCGUGGUGUAGCGGUGAAAUGCAUAGAGAUCACGCAGAACUCUGAUUGCGAAGGCAGCAUACCGGCGCCCAAAUGACGCUCAGGCACGAAAGCGUGGGUAUCGAACAGGAUUAGAUACCCCAGUAGUC